CCUACGGGUGGCAGCAGUGGGGGAUAUUGGGCAAUGGGCGCAAGCCUGACCCAGCAACGCCGCGUGAGGGAAGAAGGCUUUCGGUUUGUAAACUUCUGUUAACAGGGAAGAGUGGAAGACGGUACCUUUCGCAUGAGCCACGGCUAACUACGUUCCAGGAGCCGCGGUAAUACGUAGGUGGCAAGCGUUGUCCGGAUUUACUGGGUGUAAAGGGCGGGUAGCCGGGUUGACAAGUCAGAUGUGAAAUCCGGCGGCUUAACCGCAGAACUGCAUUUGAAACUGUUGAUCUUGAGUACUGGAGAGGCAGACGGAAUUCCUAGUGUAGCGGUGAAAUGCGGAGAUAUUAGGAGGAACACCAGUGGCGAAGGCGGUCUGCUGGACAGCAACUGACGUUGAGGCGCGAAAGCGUGGGGAGCAAACAGGAUUAGAUACCCUAGUAGUC
This 442-nucleotide ribosomal RNA is filed under the name uncultured bacterium. RNAcentral describes it as "partial 16S ribosomal RNA". It matches the Rfam family "Bacterial small subunit ribosomal RNA", at positions 338 to 795 of the family's 1533-position model. The record is from RNAcentral.